Non-coding RNA from Danio rerio (zebrafish), 363 nucleotides. Lineage: Eukaryota; Metazoa; Chordata; Actinopteri; Cypriniformes; Danionidae. The record is from RefSeq and is a predicted model, not a curated record.
AGCGGCGAUUAGUGGAUGCUGCUGUUAUUGUCCUCUAGAUGGCAGUAGUGCUGAGCACACAGUUAGCAGAGGCAUUAUCCGAGUAAAAGCUCAGAGCAAGGAAAACUCGUGUGGAGGUUCAGUGCUGAAGAAAUCACGACAACACACUCCAGCUUUUAUAUUGAACCUUCUGCUGCCAGACUGUUUAUCUGACGGACACUUCAGCUGCUUGCCUUUAUUCAGUAUAUAUUGGGGCUCAACUGUAAAUUCCUCUACAGAAGCGAUCAGGAACGCUGGACUUUGUUAUUUCAGCUGAUAUUUCAUACACAAACAGGCCUGACUGGGGAGACAUGCAAGUUAAAAUGAGAGGAAAAACAAAAUCAC